RNAcentral lists this ribosomal RNA (570 nucleotides) under uncultured Cenococcum. Its description in RNAcentral is "eukaryotic LSU rRNA". The stretch from base 209 to 362 matches the Rfam family "5.8S ribosomal RNA". The record is from RNAcentral. Lineage: Eukaryota; Fungi; Ascomycota; Dothideomycetes; Gloniales; Gloniaceae.
UCUUGGUCAUUUAGAGGAAGUAAAAGUCGUAACAAGGUUUCCGUAGGUGAACCUGCGGAGGAUCAUUACAGAAAGUAAAUGCGGGUCAAACCGCGAACUUCUAAACCUUUGACGAUUGACUCAUGUUGCCUCGGCGGGUUCGCCCGCCAGAGGAUACAUCAAAACUCCUGUUUUAACGGUGUUGUCUGAGCUACAAGCAACGAAUCAAAACUUUCAACAACGGAUCUCUUGGUUCUGGCAUCGAUGAAGAACGCAGCGAAAUGCGAUAAGUAGUGUGAAUUGCAGAAUUCAGUGAAUCAUCGAAUCUUUGAACGCACAUUGCGCCCCUUGGUAUCCCGAGGGGCAUGCCUGUUCGAGCGUCAUUUCACCACUCAAGCCUGGCUUGGUGUUGGGCGACGUCCCUUUGGGACGCGCCUCGAAACGCUCGGCGGCGUGGCACCGGCUUUAAGCGUAGCAGAAUCUUUCGCUUUAAAAGUCGGGGCCCCGUCUGCCGGAAGACCUACUCGCAAGGUUGACCUCGGAUCAGGUAGGGAUACCCGCUGAACUUAAGCAUAUCAAUAAGCGGAGGAA